RNAcentral lists this ribosomal RNA (468 nucleotides) under uncultured bacterium. Its description in RNAcentral is "partial 16S ribosomal RNA". It matches the Rfam family "Bacterial small subunit ribosomal RNA", at positions 28 to 507 of the family's 1533-position model. The record is from RNAcentral.
GACGAACGCUGGCGGCGUGCUUAACACAUGCAAGUCGAACGGAAAGGCCCUGCUUUUGUGGGGUGCUCGAGUGGCGAACGGGUGAGUAACACGUGAGUAACCUGCCCUUGACUUUGGGAUAACUUCAGGAAACUGGGGCUAAUACCGGAUAGGAGCUCCUGCUGCAUGGUGGGGGUUGGAAAGUUUCGGCGGUUGGGGAUGGACUCGCGGCUUAUCAGCUUGUUGGUGGGGUAGUGGCUUACCAAGGCUUUGACGGGUAGCCGGCCUGAGAGGGGGACCGGCCACAUUGUGACUGAGGUACGGCCCAGACUCCUACGGGAGGCAGCAGUGGGGAAUAUUGCACAAUGGGCGGAAGCCUGAUGCAGCAACGCCGCGUGCGGGAUGACGGCCUUCGGGUUGUAAACCGCUUUCGCAUGUGACGAAGCGUGAGUGACGGUAAUGGGUAAAGAAGCACCGGCUAACUACGUG